Molecule: ribosomal RNA, 505 nt
Filed under: uncultured bacterium
Lineage: Bacteria
Description: partial 16S ribosomal RNA
Rfam family: Bacterial small subunit ribosomal RNA
Source: RNAcentral
GACGAACGCUGGCGGCGUGCCUAAUACAUGCAAGUAGAACGCACAGUUUAUACCGUAUCUUGCUACACCAUAGACUGUGAGUUGCGAACGGGGGAGUCAUCCGUAGGUAACCUGCCUGGGAGCGGGGCGUAACUAUUGGAAACGAUAGCUAAUACCGCAUCAUAUUAAUUAUUGCAUGAUAAUUAAUUGAAUGGUGAAAUUGCAGCACUACCGGCUGGACCUGCGUUGUAUUAGCUAGUAGGUCAGGUAACGGCGCACCUAGGCGACGAAACAUAGCCGACCUGGGAGGGUGAUCGGCCACCAUGGGACUGAGACACGGCCCAGGCUUCUACCGGAGGCAGCAGGAGGGGAUCUUCGGCAAUGGACGAAAGUCUGACCGAGCAACGCCGCGUGAGGGGAGAAGGGUUUCGGAGCGUAAAGAUCUGUUGUAAGAGAAGAACGGGUGUGAGAGUGGAAAGUGCACACUGUGACGGUAUCUAACCAGAAAGGGACGGCUAACUACGUG